AUUGAACGCUGGCGGCAGGCCUAACACAUGCAAGUCGAACGGUAACAGGAAACAGCUUGCUGUUUCGCUGACGAGUGGCGGACGGGUGAGUAAUGUCUGGGAAACUGCCUGAUGGAGGGGGAUAACUACUGGAAACGGUAGCUAAUACCGCAUAACGUCGCAAGACCAAAGAGGGGGACCCUCGGGCCUCUUGCCAUCGGAUGUGCCCAGAUGGGAUUAGCUUGUUGGUGGGGUAACGGCUCACCAAGGCGACGAUCCCUAGCUGGUCUGAGAGGAUGACCAGCCACCCUGGAACCUGGGCCCCGUUCCGACUCCUUACGGAAGCAGCAGUGGGGAAUAUUUCACAAUUGGCCCAAACCUUAUGCAGCCAUGCCGCGUGUAUGAAGAAGGCCUUCCGGUUUUAAAAUACCUUCAGCCGGGAGGAAGGGAAUAAAGUUAAUACCUUUUCCCAUUGACCUUACCCGCAGAAGAAGCACCCGCUAACCCCCUG
This 490-nucleotide ribosomal RNA is filed under the name uncultured bacterium. RNAcentral's name for it is "partial 16S ribosomal RNA". It matches the Rfam family "Bacterial small subunit ribosomal RNA", at positions 30 to 507 of the family's 1533-position model. The record is from RNAcentral.